RNAcentral lists this ribosomal RNA (372 nucleotides) under uncultured bacterium. RNAcentral's name for it is "bacterial SSU rRNA". It matches the Rfam family "Bacterial small subunit ribosomal RNA", at positions 28 to 404 of the family's 1533-position model. The record is from RNAcentral.
GACGAACGCUGGCGGCGUGCUUAACACAUGCAAGUCGAGCGGUAAGGCCCUUCGGGGUACACGAGCGGCGAACGGGUGAGUAACACGUGGGUGACCUGCCCUUAGCUCUGGGAUAAGCCUGGGAAACUGGGUCCAAUACCGGAUAUGACCUCAUGACGCAUGUUGUGGGGUGGAAAGCCUUGUGCGGCUAGGGAUGGGCCCGCGGCCUAUCAGCUUGUUGGUGGGGUGAUGGCCACCAAGGCGACGACGGGUAGCCGGCCUGAGAGGGCGACCGGCCACACUGGGACUGAGACACGGCCCAGACUCCUACGGGAGGCAGCAGUGGGGAAUCUUGCGCAAUGGGCGAAAGCCUGACGCAGCGACGCCGCGUGA